CUGCUGCUGCUGCUGCUGCUGCUGCUGCUCCUGACUCCUGACUGCCAGAUGAGUGCUCGGAGGGGUGUUAAGGGACGAGCUCACGGAUCGAUGUCUCACUCUGCUCAGCCCAGCUGUAGCUGUUGUCUCUCACACAGAGAGGCUUUGUCUGAGCUCUGCAGAAAAACAGCCCGUAACAAGUGUUUACCGUCUGCCGCCUCAGGCCUGAGCCGGGGCCUGCGCUCGCUGCACGGUAGCCGCUGUGUGCGAAGGCAUCGGAGCCUCUGUGAGGAACCUGGAAAUACUCAGACAGAGCUGGGUUCAAAACAUCUGUCAGCACUCAGACGACGGUGGUGAGGAGGAGAGAGUGCAGAGGGCCUGGUAUGUGGAAGGCCCGGCCCAGGAAUCAGUGGAGCCGCUCGGCUCGGCACGUCUGCCUUGUUUAUUUGCCCUGACCCCGCGUUCCCCGCGAGGUUAAGGGACCUGCCGCAGUGAAAGGAGCCAUUGUCCUGCAGGAAAAAUCUGGUACAAAUAUUUACCAAUGGGGGGAGGAUGCAAAGACGGGGCUCGCAGCCAGCCAGACGAGCUGUAAAAAACGGCCAGAGUGCAUUUUUGAAUAAUCCACUUCCACACCCUUUUCCUUUUACCUAAGGUUACAAAAAUCUGCCCUCACGUCCCCAUUACUCACAUCACACUGCAGGGACUGUUUUAACAUCAACAUCGUAAUACAGUCCUGAUGAAGUUGGUACACUGCCUUAAACGUGUUUUAGCCGUGAACUUUAAUUUAAUAACCAAAAAAAAAAAAGAAAAAUUACAUUUUUCCAUUUACAGACUUGACUGAUUUUAUUGAACAUGGAAGAAUAUAGAGAUUGAUGCAGCCAGAAUGAAAAUGCAAAGUUGUACAAAAGUCGUAAAAAUAACUAUUUUUACAGCUCUUAACGGUUAACGGUUUAUAGUCUUCACUUUGGUUGCGAAAUGAACGUCUAACCGGGGGCUGUGUCGUACAGGUCGGAUGGGGAGAAAAUCUGUAACAAUAAACCGGUUCAUCACAGGAGAUCUAAAUAUUUGUGGAAGCAGAAUUGAUCAAAGGUUAUGAGCAAAAAAAAA
Molecule: long non-coding RNA, 1086 nt
Organism: Cynoglossus semilaevis (tongue sole)
Lineage: Eukaryota; Metazoa; Chordata; Actinopteri; Pleuronectiformes; Cynoglossidae
Exons: 3
Source: RefSeq, a predicted model, not a curated record